RNAcentral lists this non-coding RNA (67 nucleotides) under unclassified sequences. RNAcentral's name for it is "S15-Flavobacteria ribosomal protein leader". It matches the Rfam family "S15-Flavobacteria ribosomal protein leader". The record is from RNAcentral.
UAUAUUUGCUACUUGAUUACGAUAGACGUAGUUAGCGCAUAAAAAUUAUUUAAAUAAUAUUGGAAUG